GGCAGUUCCCGUCUCAGUCUCCAACUUUUCCCCGGCUCCCAACCACGCAGCAGCCGCACCCCGCGCACGGCCCCGGGCCAGGAGCGGGGCCCCCAACUCUUCAUCAGCCCCUCCGCGGAGGCCCGCGGGCGGGCAGCAGAACGCGACGCCCUCUCCCAGGCGGCCCGACCCGCUCCCCACAGACAAUGGGACCGGCACUCACCAGGACCACUGCGAAGCGCUCCUCCAGCUCACCAGGUUCGGGCAUGGGCAGCUUGAGAGCUGGAAUGGUGAGCAGCACACCCUGUCCUGGCUUGCACCUCACCAGGGCACCUUGCCCAUGGAGCAUCAGCCGGCACAGGACUUGGCCUGGGACCCUGAGUGAUGCUGAAGGUGUGGAUUCCUGCUCCACAGGUGCCAGGGAGGGUUACUCGAGAGACAGCAGCUAUGCUCUGGUUUAACUGUGCUGACGUCCACUUACUUCCAACACUUGCUUGUGCAGAUCAGAUGCAGCUUCAUCAAAGCAAACUGUGAUGUCAAUUGUGAUGAGAUCAGCCUCCAUUUUCUGCUCAAGACCACUCCUGUAGCACCAGCAAGCACUAAAUAUCACAUCCAGAUCUCCUGCAGGAAGGGUGCAUGCAGUUACGCCCGCCUAAUCCAAGACCAAUUGAUCUUUUCAGUCUUGCUACUUUUUCCCAAGGCACAGGGACACCUCCCAGCCUGUGGCACUGGACUGGCAAGCCUGAAGCCAGGCUGUGUGCAAGGCCCACACCAAGCGUGGAAUGACACACAGCAACUUGCAACAGGAUUAAGUGCAACCCUGACAGUACUGCUUUUUCUCAGCUUUGAGGAGAAGUGCCAUGUGGAAAUACUUAGCACAAUGAUUUUGCAUCUUCCUUCUGAUUUUUGAGUUGUUGCUUGAAAAUACAUAGGCUUAAUUGGAAAUGGAGGGACAUGUGUGCAAGGGCAGCAUGGCAAGGGGAAUGGAACAGGGCUCAGCAGUGAGAUCUCCUGCUAGUCUGGAGAGUGCUUUUCAGAGGAAGCCUAAGCAGAUGUGUUUAACAGAAAAGCUGCAGUAAUGGCAAACAGCCCUGUUUCUGCCACUGCCGGUAUACUGACCUGGAUUUCUGAGAUGUAAAGUAAGGCCCCCAUACUCAUUUGCCAUGUCUCUGUCGGGCCCACGUAUAGUUUUCUGCCCACUAACUAGACAGAAGGCAAGGCUUUGGAGUCAGCUCGUCCCACCUGGCUGCUUUAAUGCAGCACCUGGAACACAUGUGUUAUCUGACUCUUCACGCGGGCACCUAGCGCCUGAUGUUGUCCUUAAAUGCUUGUGCCUUGUCCUGAUCCUGGUGCAUGCUGCUGCCAUCUGUUCAAACCAGUGGAUACCCCAUAGAUAGCACUUCCUUUUCCUUUUUUUCUUUUUUCCCUGUAAAAGCAAAUGGGGUGUGCAGUCUGUGAUCCCUUCCUUCUCCUUUGGAGAGAAGUCUGGUGGGAAGAGCAGACACAGGAUCACAAUACCAUGAUGGAGGUCUGAUUUUUGCAGCAGCUUUUGCAUCAGCCCUGCCUGGACUCUUAUCUCACAGCACCGUCCACCUUCACAAGCAUCCUACGGCUGCAGUGGUGAAGAGCUGCAUUUGAGGGAGCGAGUCUCUUGCCUGAAGACCCAGGUGCCUGCAGUGGCACCAUACAGUUGAGGUGAACCUUGGAGAAGGAUGAGCACAGGACCCCCACAUUCCCCUGCCUGUAGUCCAGCAUAGACCAGCAGUAGUCCAGCCCCAGAUCAGCACUGGAAUGGCUCCUGAGAAAAUGCCUCCAGCAAGCCCAGCUCCCUCUGCCUCCAAGCCAGAGGUAGAGGAAGCAUGCUGCCCACCACCCCGCUCAGGCCUGACGACCUCCAGGAUCUUGUCAGGUAGGAGCAGUGCAGGAUCCUGUUAAUUUUUAAAGGUGAGGCCACACUGUUUUGGCAGAACUGAGGUUGUUCUUCUCAGUCAAGUGCAAACCUGCCUGGCACCAUGGGCUGCUGAGGACUCAGUCCAGUUUGUUUUUAGUAAAGCUCAGAUUCUUCUUCUCCAGACAGCUAGUCUGAAUGAUUUGCUACAGUUUGGAGAAAGAAUCAGUUAUAGAAAACAGCACAAGCAUUUGUUCUGUGGGAUGUAGUACAGAGGUGUCUGCUUUUAAAACGUCCCCGAGAGAGGCACUUAUGAAAACAGGGUACUUGCUCAUCUGUUACACUUCAAGAAAUUAACAAAAACUAAGGCUAAAACAUUCCAUGCACUGGAAAUAAGAGGAAACAGAUUUGUGAUCCUCACUCAGCCUGUAUCUGUGCACACCAGAGAAGCUCCCAGAAUAUGCACUGACAAAGAGAUGUGUGGUCAAUGUACAUUAAGCUUCCUGCUAUGGUGGGCUGCCUGGUGGAGGAGGUGAACUGCUGAGCAGGGUCUGAACACUGGCAGUGGCUCACAGCCUGCAAAUGCAGUCACAUUAAAGCAAAUGACAAGCCACCAAAGCAGAGCUAAUGGGACAUGGGGGUCUCCCCAGCAUGAGGAACCCAGCUGCCACACAACCUGAACACCCUGCCUCUUCCCUUCUCCCUCUUCCCAACAUGUUGUAGAUAACUUGAGCAUCACACAUGGAAACAUAAUGCAAAGGCUGGGGCAGAGGAUCCCCCAGAAGAGCAGUGGACAGUGAGAGGGCACCGAGCACUCCAUUUGCCUCAAAGCCCUUGAUAGCAUCACAGCCUCCAGCCCACAGCCAGUGCUCACCAGAGGAACCCUUGCGUGUGCACCCACCCUGUACUAGGGUGGUGAGAAGAGCCUGUGAUGGUGACAUCCAGAGCAAGCCAUGGGAUUUCUGUGUUCAGCCUCAUGCCAUCUCACUCAUGAGUAAAUGUAACACAAGUGUUAUUUUCUGGUAUGAUGCACCCUGGCCAGGAGCUCAUUCAUGAUUUAUUGACAGAAAGGCAAGCGGACAAAACACAACUUCUGAAUUCCCAGAAAGGCAAAGAAUUGUAAAUGCUAAUGAAACUGAGAUAAUGGAGCAGAAAAUAAUGGAAGAGAAUGAGUCAAAAGUUAAUAACUCUUAUAUUUGAAUAUAAAGCCGCACUUCCUGAACUCAGAUGGAGUCAGAGGCUAGAGUAGAUGUGUGUCUGUGUGCCUGUCUUUCAGCUUUAAACUGGCUGUAAAAACCAUAGCUAGGACAGAAUAAUUUAAUACAGGGACAUUUUCUAACCUUUAUGGACUGUUAUUAUUAAUUGCAAAAAGAUUUUUCUCUUUUUUUUUCCUGGGGCAGCUAUCAGUGUGUGGAGUGGAGGGGCUGUAUCUGAAUACAGCCUCAGCCCUCAGCCUCAUCUCCUCAGCCCUCAGCUGGCUCAUCGCUCCAAGCGACAGCCAUGGGACAAUGCUGGUCAUUGUGCCCACAGCAGCAGAAAAGCUCCGUGUGCUUCCACACAGGCUUCAGACAGAAAUGCCCCACAAGUUUCCAUUGUUUUUCCACCAAAAGCUCUUGACAAAGAACUCCCAAGGAUGGUUAGGCAAGAGGAAUAAAAUUAAUUUAAUCUUUUCAGCUGAUAGAAGUUGUUUAGAAGCCUUAAAUGGGUUUCAGAACUCAUGAGAAAAAUAUGGAUUUCAAUUUACAGGACUGAUUAAUAACAUUUGUCUCCCAGCAAAGCAGGGGGAGGGGGAAGAUUUCCAAGAGCAAGGUUUGUGCAGUCACUGGAAAUACCUUUUCCAGACCUUGCACUUUAAAGCAUGUUUCCUGAUCUCACCAUCUCUCUGUCAACAUCUUGCAGUGGUCAAUGGUCCCAGCAGUGCUGUUGCUGAGCAUGGCCCCCACCUCAGCCCUCCCUUCCCAUGCAGACAUCAGGGCAAUGCAGGGCUGGCAGUGCUGCAGCCCUCUCUUUGCUUUUGUUUUAAAUUUAGGGUCUGUUCUGCAUUCCCCAAGCAAAAAUGUUGCUUGCACCCAUUUCUACAUCCCUGAGAGCUGGAGCAUGAGCUUUCCUGGGAAUGCUUUCCACCGCUCACCAAACAAGCAACCCUGUGAAGGUGGGGAUGGCUUCUCUGUGUGUAGCUGUAGCCUGUGAAGUCCCACCUGCUCCUAUGGUGUGACCAAACUGGUGUGACUGUCUUUACCUCUAACACCCUAUUUGUAGUGGAUACUGAUUUGAGAUUCAUCAGGCUCAGCUGAUAGCUUUUCAGGGUAGCAAAAAGCACUGCUGUGUGAGCUCAGGUACACAGAUCUAGAGUUCCUCAGCUGUCCAGCAAGCUUGCUGGGAGCUGGACACUUGGAUGAGUCACUGCUUUGCUCCUGCCUGUGUCCAGCAGGUCCAUUUCCCUCCAGGUCCCACAGUGAAAGGUUUUGUUCUGAUGCUAAAUUGAACGAAAGGUCAACCAUGUGAGUUUUCCCAUAAAAGAAAGAUUUCCCCUUUCCAAUGAACUCUAAACAUCUCAACUUCUAUUACAAGACAAGGAUAACAGAAGUUCACACUGAAUUAUUUACUGCUUUAGUGAAACAGGGGACUGAAGGCAGACUGGCUCACUUUGGCUGAACUCAAGCAAAAGUGAAAUGAUGUUAGAUGCAGGAAGCAUGAAGACAACUUGCUGCAUCUUUAAUAGCUGUUUUAAGAAGCCAGCUGUGGGGGGACCGGAGAUACCAGCUGAUACGGCUUCUAACAUCCCUGUUUCUUUCUGGCCCACUGUACAGCUAUGUCUGAUGAUUGCAGUUGUGUGUGUCUUUUAAUGCUGCCAUGAAUACCAGCAUCACCUUUGAAAGGCUCAUCCCAAACCCUCCUGCCUCUGGAGACAUGCUUGUGAUGUUGGUUGGCUGGGGUUCAGGGACAGCAUCAAGGUAACCCCUCCCUCAGAGAUCUUGUGCUCCCAGCCAGCAACAAGACACUUUAUAUGAGGAGCUUUGAAAAGUAUGAUGGUGGUGUAGUCCUGUACCGGCUCACACACGGUUUGUUUCAGAACAAAGCAAGGAACAAACACUAAAGCACUGCUUCAGAGCCCACUGCGUGCUCUGCUCUUGUUACCAGCAGCAGCUGCACAGCUGGAAGGACUGCACCGUGUCCUUGACUGUCUGCACUUUCGGCUGACAAGGCGGAGGAGCUCACAGCACCACCUCCCUGGGAUAAAGCCAUAUGACAGAGAAGGCUGUUUUCUGAAUUUGUGCUAACACAAUUA
Melopsittacus undulatus (budgerigar) is the source of this 5156-nucleotide long non-coding RNA. RefSeq lists it as uncharacterized. The transcript is spliced from 3 exons. Lineage: Eukaryota; Metazoa; Chordata; Aves; Psittaciformes; Psittaculidae. The record is from RefSeq and is a predicted model, not a curated record.